This 22-nucleotide microRNA is filed under the name Monodelphis domestica (gray short-tailed opossum). RNAcentral's name for it is "mdo-miR-7375d-5p". The record is from miRBase by way of RNAcentral. Lineage: Eukaryota; Metazoa; Chordata; Mammalia; Didelphimorphia; Didelphidae.
UAGCCCUUACCCCCCCAACUAG